Non-coding RNA from Caenorhabditis elegans, 150 nucleotides. Lineage: Eukaryota; Metazoa; Nematoda; Chromadorea; Rhabditida; Rhabditidae. The record is from Ensembl.
AGAAAGAAAUUUCGAAAUCAGGGGUUUGAUUUGAAAUAGAAGAAUAGUAGUGAAACUUCCAACACGACCAUGUGUCGAUUUACGCAGCUUGUGUACUACUCGAGGAGAAGUGUGAGAAGUACACGAGCUGCGUAAAUCGACACAGAGCCG